UACGGAAGGUAGCAGUGGGGAAUAUUGCACAAUGGGCGAAAGCCUGAUGCAGCUAUGCCGCGUGUAUGAAGAAGGCCUUUAGGGUUGUAAAGUACUUUCAUCGGGGAGGAAAAAACAAAACUAAUAAUUUUAUUUCUUGACGUUACCCGAAAAAGAAGCACCGGCUAACUCCGUGCCAGCAGCCGCGGUAAUACGGAGGGUGCUAGCGUUAAUCAGAAUUACUGGGCGUAAAGAGCACGUAGGUGGUUUUUUUAAAGUCAGAUGUGAAAUCCCUGGGCUUAACCUGGAACUGCAUUUUGAAACUGAAAUACUAGAGUAUCGUAGAGGGAGGUAGAAUUCUAGGUGUAGCGGUGAAAUGCGUAGAUAUCUGGAGGAAUACCUGUGGCGAAAGCGGCCUCCUAAACGAAUACUGACACUGAGGGUGCGAAAGCGUGGGGAGCAAACAGGGAUUAGAUACC
This 458-nucleotide ribosomal RNA is filed under the name uncultured bacterium. RNAcentral's name for it is "bacterial SSU rRNA". It matches the Rfam family "Bacterial small subunit ribosomal RNA", at positions 340 to 786 of the family's 1533-position model. The record is from RNAcentral.